GGGGUCGUAGCGAAGCCAGGCAUCGCAACGGGCUCCAGACCCGUGGAUCAGGGGUUCAAAUGUGCGGUAUACCG
RNAcentral lists this transfer RNA (74 nucleotides) under Nitrosopumilales archaeon. RNAcentral describes it as "tRNA-Trp". The record is from RNAcentral. Lineage: Archaea; Thermoproteati; Nitrososphaerota; Nitrososphaeria; Nitrosopumilales.